UGGGGAAUAUUGGACAAUGGGGGCAACCCUGAUCCAGCCAUGCCGCGUGAGUGAUGAAGGCCUUCGGGUUGUAAAGCUCUUUUGGCGGGGACGAUGAUGACGGUACCCGCAGAAUAAGCCCCGGCUAACUUCGUGCCAGCAGCCGCGGUAAGACGAAGGGGGCUAGCGUUGUUCGGAAUUACUGGGCGUAAAGCGAGUGUAGGCGGUUGCCGUAGUCAGGUGUGAAAGCCUUGAGCUCAACUCAAGAAAUGCACUUGAUACUGGGUGACUAGAGGACCGGAGAGGAUAGUGGAAUUCCCAGUGUAGUGGUGAAAUACGUAGAGAUUGGGAAGAACACCAGUGGCGAAGGCGGCUAUCUGGACGGUUACUGACGCUAAGACUCGAAAGCGUGGGGAGCAAACAGGAUUAGAUACCCUGGUAGUCCACGCCGUAAACGAUGGGUGCUAGACGUUGGCGAGCUUGCUCGUCAGUGUCGCAGCUAACGCGUUAAGCACCCCGCCUGGGGAGUACGGCCGCAA
This 518-nucleotide ribosomal RNA is filed under the name uncultured bacterium. Its description in RNAcentral is "partial 16S ribosomal RNA". It matches the Rfam family "Bacterial small subunit ribosomal RNA", at positions 355 to 891 of the family's 1533-position model. The record is from RNAcentral.